Molecule: ribosomal RNA, 426 nt
Filed under: uncultured bacterium
Lineage: Bacteria
Description: partial 16S ribosomal RNA
Rfam family: Bacterial small subunit ribosomal RNA
Source: RNAcentral
GUGAGGAAUUUUCCGCAAUGGGCGAAAGCCUGACGGAGCAAUGCCGCGUGAAGGAUGAAGGCCUAUGGGUUGUAAACUUCUUUUCUCAGAAAAGAAUUAUGACGGUAUCUGAGGAAUAAGCAUCGGCUAACUCUGUGCCAGCAGCCGCGGUAAGACAGAGGAUGCAAGCGUUAUCCGGAAUGAUUGGGCGUAAAGCGUGUGUAGGUUGUUUAAAAAGUAUUCUGUCAAAGAUUAGGGCUUAACCCUAGAUAGGCAGAAUAAACUUUUAAGCUAGAGUUUGGUAGAGGCAGAGGGAAUUACCGGUGGAGCGGUGAAAUGCGUAGAUAUCGGGAGGAACACCAAAUGCGAAGGCACUCUGCUGGGCCAAUACUAACACUGAGAGACGAAAGCGAGGGGAGCAAAUGGGAUUAGAAACCCUGGUAGUCC